CAGAGCAUGCUGAGCUGGUAACUCCGAAGGCCACCGGUGCCUAGAGCAGCCACCAGCUGGGGCUGAUGUCACUGAAGGCAGCUGGCUGCAGAGAAGGACAGCGAACAAUGGAAAAUAGCUGGCAGCUGCCAUCUCGGGUGCAGAGAGGAUCCCCAAGGCCUCCGGGAGCUGCGCAGUGUGGGCGGCGAGGAGGGCCGCUACCACCAGGGGCUGAGAGCCGCGGGCGUCCGAAGCCUGGGGUGCGAACACGGAGAGAGCUGCGCUGCGCAGAUAGUAGUGGAGGUCCGGAGCAGCAAGCAGACGUGGUCCUCGCCCUCCCUGCCUUCCGCGGAGGCCCCCAGCGGGCAGCGAGUGCAGGGUUGGAGGCCUGGUGGGCGGCGACCUCCACGCCAACCUGCGCCCCGGGCCGGCCGGGCUGGGCUGGUCGGUACUGGCCUGCUCCCCCUGCACCCAGCCUGGGCCGCGUUUUCUCAGCUGCCGUCAGCGACGGGAAGUGUGCUCGUGCACGUGCAUGUGUGCGCGGCACACGCGUGUCCCCGGCUGGCCAGGAGCUCCCCGAGGACCGGGAUCGUGCCUCCCGACCGGGCUGCGCCACUCUUCAGGGGACACCGCGGGUCCCCGGGGCUCUUCCCGCGGGUCCUUGUUCUGUCCGGGGGAAAGGGCGCCUUCUCGCCGCCUCGCUCCGGGAAGCCCACGCCGCUCCGGGGACCGCGGGCUUUGGGUUCCAGGCCUUGGGCCCAGGCCCAAUGCCCAGCCGCGGCCCGGGCUGAGCCCCGUAGGUUCUCACUUGCGGGAACUGCGAGGGAAUUGUGGAGAAGCUGCGAUUUCCUGAAUAAUUUACGCCCACGCGCUCCCAGGGCUGGAUCGCAUGGCCCUGAACAAAGACAGCGGGCCCUACCCUGGGGAACCGGAUCCCCGAGGUCCGGUGACGCCUGGGAACAGCACCGAGGUCGCCUGAGAGCUGCUCCCGGCUGGCGGGCUGCGGGAUGAUGCGGAGGAGGAAGCCGCAGGCUCAGGGAGGCGGCAGCAGAGGGACGCCGGCCUCUCCCCAGACUGCUUCCCAAUCGGCCCGAGCCGUCCACUCUGCAGCAACUGCCGCUCCCGCUGCUUCUGUCCCCGAUCACUUCCAGGGCCUCGCCCGCCCCCGCCCCGCCCCGGCCUCUUGGUUCUCAGGCCUCGCCACGCCACCCUCUCUCCCCACAGGCUCCUUCCCUCAACCUAGAAACACACUCAGGUCUUUGAGUGUUACGAUAAAUCUUCCUUUUGCCCCCCUGGUCACUGGUCUACUUCUGUUUUGUUUGUCUGGUUUUGUUUUUCUGAGACAGGAUCUCCCUCUAUAAUCCAGGCUGGCCUCAAACUCAUGGCAAUCCUCCUGCCUCAGCCUCCCAAGUCUUGGGAUUACAAGUAUGCUCCAGCACACCCAACUCCCCCGCUUGUAGAUUUUUCACACCCCCUAUAUCACAUCCCCUUUCUCAUUCCCAUAACGGAAACCUUCAUCCCCCCCACCCGGGGGGGCCUCGAUUCCCACCUGUUUUCCCCCCACACAACCUACUUCCGCCCAAUUCACCCCUGCAGCUCCGACACACGGAGCCUCCAAUCCCCGCCUCGGUCCCACGUCCCCUGAGCACCUCCUCUGGGAUGACCACGACUCCGGUCAGCCCCAGCUCGGCAGGCGGCGCCUCGGUUACCCCAGACGGUUCACCCCGAACCCAGGGUGUGGCUUCUUUUCGCCCUCCACUUUCUCCUUUCCGUUCACCAGCAAAGCAAGUUUACCUCAGAACUGUCACGGCCCUGCAGGUCUCUGAGGGAGUGAGGGCUGGCGAGGUUCAGGGUCCCCUGGGGAUUCAGCUGUGUCCGCUCCUCGGAGAGAACAGAAACUGCUCUGCGCCCUGCGGUGGGCCCAGGACUCUGCACAGCACUCGGCACACAGUAAGCACCCAGGACGUGGUGGCCAGAAGAAAGGAAGGCGGAAGAAAGGAAAGAAGGAAGAGAGGGAGGGAGGGAGGGAUGAGGGAAGAGGGCACAAAAAAUAAAUCCAGCUUCCUGUCCAGGCCCCAGAGGGACCACGGCCCCGCCCCACGGCCCCGCCCCACGGCCCCUCCUUGGUCUCUGCCCCUCCAGGAGGCAGCGCCCGCAGGACCACAGCCACCGCCCCGCAUCGCCGGGCACGGCUCCUGCACCUGCACCCUUUGCUCCCGGCCGUGGCCGCCCCGGCUGGGUGCCAACCUCAGCUCCCCCUUGCAACCCAGGCUCGCUGCACGGUGCAGCAGGGAGCUCUGGCCUUCCGUUUCUGCCCAGGAGACUGGCGUCGUCGCACCUGCUUAGCGCUAGGAUGCCUUUCUCCCGGACUGGGACGUGAACGGAGCUGGAGCCCGAAGCCCUGACUAUGGCAGAGGAUCCACCACCAAGUAGCUCUGUACCCUCAGUUUCCGCAUCGGUUCUAAAGGAGAAGGCUAGGUGUGGUGGCGCAAGCCUGUAAUCCCAGCACUGGGAGGCUGAGGCAGGAGGAUCGCUGUGAGUUUGAGGCCGGUCUGGGCUCCAUAGUGAGUUUAAAACCUGCCUAAACCAUAUAGCAAGACCUGUCUUUUUUUGUGUGUGUGUGUGGUACCAGGAAUUGAACUCAGGACCUUGCGUGUACCGGGAAGGCACUUAUACCACGGAGCUAUACCCCCCGGCCCCAUGACCUGUCUCUAAAAACCAAGAGUAAAUAAAUAAACACAAUAGAACAUAAAACUGCUUUAGCUGGGCAUGGUGGCGCAUGCCUGUAAUCCCAGCACUUGGGAGGCUGAGGCAGGAGGACCGUUGCAAGUUCGAGGCCAGUCUGGGCUAGAAAGUGAGCUCAAGGCCAGCCUGAACUGCAUAGCGAGACCCUGUCUCAGAAAGACAAAUAAAUAAAAAAUAAAAGUGUUUUGCAGACUAUAAUGUUCUCUUCCCAAGCAAUUGUUAUUUUAUUGUUCAUCCUCUUGGGAAUAGAGUAGUAUGUGUGAAUGGCUCACGCCAGGAGCCCUUCCUUUGGCAGCUUGACAAAGGUCUUGGUUCUGCUUUAGCUUUACUUAUGUAUCGAUUUGUCUAUUUAGCUAUUUAUAUGCAGUACUGGGGACUGAACCCAGGGCCUUUUUACUGAGCUACAUCCCCAGACUUUGAGAGUCUUCCUAAGUUGCCCGGGCUGGGACUGAACUUGUGAUCCUCCUGCCUCGGCCUCCCAGGGUGCUGGGAUUCCAGGUCUGAGCCGUCUCCUGUCUCACCAGAUGGCCGUGGCUGCUCCAGGGCUCAGCUUCACAGCUGCAGCUGUAACAACUGAAAGAGGAAGGUGUGGGUCGCGGGGCGCGGGGUAGCAAGGUGCACCUGGCUUAGCAGUUCAGUAGGGUCAGGGGACAGAAGGCGCGGGGGCACUGGUAAUGGGAGCAGCUUUUCCCAGAAGCUGCUGGUUGGCGCCCCCUUGAUUCUAUUGGCCAGGCUGCACCCCCGAUCAGCCAGUCAGUGGCUCAGGAGCGCGAGUCAAGGCCAAUCAAGGUUCAUCUGUGGUUGAGCAAGUGAGCAAAACGGGCGAUCUGCCACCAAGGCUGGUGGGGGUGGCAGCCGAGGCCACUGCCCUCAUGCUGCAGUGUCCCCACCCCCACCCUCCUGCAGCGCCCGUCCCUUCCCCCGGUGACAACGCCCCACACGGCCGGAAGACCCCUCCCCAUCUCGCUGCCUGCCUGCAAGCGAGGCACAGAUGGGGUUGCAGGCGGCAACCCCACGUCGCAUGAAUCACACAGCGCUCCAGAGUCCAGGCCUCUGCCUGCCCAGGCCGCAGUGCACCCGACCUGGCUGAGAAGGAGGAUUUGAGCCGAGCAGCCAGUGCCAGCACACGGCUCCUCCCUGCCUGGCCACGACCGAGCUGGGUGCGCAGGCCCCUCUGGCAGCACGGCUGCACCUGGUCUCACAAGGGCCCUGUGUGCUGGGGACACUGAGGACAGGGAAACGGCGUCCUGGCCUGGGUGACCCGCAGCCCGUGGGAGCUUCUCCUCCUCCCGAUGGGUCUCCAGGAGAGUGUGGCAGCCGCUGGGCCAGCAAGGGAGUUUCCAGGAAAGGCAGCCGGGCAGCAGGCUGGAGGGGCUGGGAGGACUCAGGGAGGGGCCAGGGUCGCACCGGGCUUCCAGGGCUUCUUCCCCUCUAGGAAGGCUCGAGGGAGUGACCCUGUCCCAGCCCUUGGCCCACGGCAGCUAAUCUCUGGGAUGCCAUCUUGUUUCCUCCCUGUCCCCUUUGCAUCCACUCAGUACCUGCCCUCUCCAUACCAAGAGGCUUGGAUUCUCGGGUACCCUGACUCGUAAGAGUUGAGCACCCAGCAUUCACCAUGGGAAGAUAAAAAUGUCAUUUCUCAAGACACAAACUUCAAAGCUGGGUGUAGUGGCACACACACUUGCAACUCAGGAGGCUGAGGCAGGAGGCCUCCUGAGAGUUUGAGGCCGGCCUGGGCUAUAUAGGGAGUUCAAGAUAAGUACAAGCUACAUAGCCAGACCUUGCCUAAAAAAAAAACCCAGAAAGAUAAAAACUUCGGAGACUUCUACAGCUAGCAAAGGAAAACGUGUUACUUUCACCUUCCUGAGUGCUUUUCAGUGCCAAGUUUUAUAUUUAGGAUCACAUGAAUUAUGCAGAGCCGCAGGCUGGUGGACAGCUUCCAAACACGAGAAACUACAUUUCCCUUCCUUUGGAUAAUGAGUUCAAGGUCUUCACCGCAAGUCACAUCACGUCUCAGAAGCAAAAACCAGUUCCUACUGGGACCGUAAGGUCUUCCGGCCAGCAGAUCUAAUCUCUGUAGGCCGGAUCUCCUCCCCUUCCUAACUGCUUCUCCCACUAAAAAUCGCUUUUGUGCUGCUGUCUUAGCGCCUCCGACAUAUCAGACACAAUGCUCAGCUACGCUGGCUGCCUCUGCCUACCUUAGAGACGCAAAGGAUCUGGGCAGGACUCUCAGAGAAAGGCUGGUGGGUGUGAACGGCCCACAGCAUGGAUGCGACUGAUGAGGGCGAGGAUGGAGACCAUUUACACUUCCUAUAAACCCCUCAGGAGUGGAGCAGAGCACACUGCUCCUGUCCUGUGUGCCUCAUGCAUUAUCUUCUUCAGCACUGGCGAGAACUGCAAGUUUCCCACUAGACACACAGCACAGUGAGGCUGAGAGGUUAAGAGGCUUGCCAAAAGGCAGAGCUGGGAGUCAAGCUCACAGGCUCAACCUCAGGCUCUGCUGUGGGCUCCCAGCUGGACGAAACCCUGACAGCCUCCCUGCUGCCCCUGUGGGGUGCUGGGGAUAGAACCCAGGGCCUCAUGCACGUUAGACAAGCUCUCCACUGCUGAGAUGGACCCGCGGACUGUUUUCUUUGGAACAGUUAAGUUGCCCAGGCCAGACUUCAACUUGUGAUCUUCCUUCCUCAACCUCCUGAGUCACUGCCACCAUCACGCCAGCUAACCUUGAAUUUCAUGGAACCAUGAUGGAAGGAUACUUGGGCACUAGAUGCAAUCAUAGCCUAGGAUUUUACCCACUGCCUGUUUCCUAACAAAAGGAACUAUUACGAUUGAAAUCUCUAUUCACUCCUAUCUGAAAU
RNAcentral lists this long non-coding RNA (5579 nucleotides) under Chinchilla lanigera (long-tailed chinchilla). Its description in RNAcentral is "lncRNA (ENSCLAG00000023325.1)". The record is from RNAcentral. Lineage: Eukaryota; Metazoa; Chordata; Mammalia; Rodentia; Chinchillidae.